UACGGAGGGAGCUAGCGUUGCUCGGAAUCACUGGGCGUAAAGCGCACGUAGGCGGAUUGCUAAGUCAGGGGUGAAAUCCUGGAGCUCAACUCCAGAACUGCCUUUGAUACUGGCGAUCUUGAGUCCGGGAGAGGUGAGUGGAACUGCGAGUGUAGAGGUGAAAUUCGUAGAUAUUCGCAAGAACACCAGUGGCGAAGGCGGCUCACUGGCCCGGUACUGACGCUGAGGUGCGAAAGCGUGGGGAGCAAACAGG
Molecule: ribosomal RNA, 253 nt
Filed under: uncultured bacterium
Lineage: Bacteria
Description: partial 16S ribosomal RNA
Rfam family: Bacterial small subunit ribosomal RNA
Source: RNAcentral